GACGAACGCUGGCGGCGUGCUUAACACAUGCAAGUCGAACGGAAAGGCCCUGCUUUUGUGGGGUGCUCGAGUGGCGAACGGGUGAGUAACACGUGAGUAACCUGCCCUUGACUUUGGGAUAACUUCAGGAAACUGGGGCUAAUACCGGAUAGGAGCUCCUGCUGCAUGGUGGGGGUUGGAAAGUUUCGGCGGUUGGGGAUGGACUCGCGGCUUAUCAGCUUGUUGGUGGGGUAGUGGCUUACCAAGGCUUUGACGGGUAGCCGGCCUGAGAGGGUGACCGGCCACAAUGGGACUGAGAUACGGACCAGACUCCUACGGGAGGCAGCAGUGGGGAAUAUUGCACAAUGGGCGGAAGCCUGAUGCAGCAACGCCGCGUGCGGGAUGACGGCCUUCGGGUUGUAAACCGCUUUAGCCUGUGACGAAGCGUGAGUGACGGUAAUGGGUAAAGAAGCACCGGCUAACUACGUG
This 468-nucleotide ribosomal RNA is filed under the name uncultured bacterium. RNAcentral describes it as "partial 16S ribosomal RNA". It matches the Rfam family "Bacterial small subunit ribosomal RNA", at positions 28 to 507 of the family's 1533-position model. The record is from RNAcentral.